CAGAGAUGCUUUGGUGCCUUCGGGAACUCUGAGACAGGUGCUGCAUGGCUGUCGUCAGCUCGUGUUGUGAAAUGUUGGGUUAAGUCCCGCAACGAGCGCAACCCUUAUCCUUUGUUGCCAGCGGCUCGGCCGGGAACUCAAAGGAGACUGCCGGUGAUAAACCGGAGGAAGGUGGGGAUGACGUCAAGUCAUCAUGGCCCUUACGGCCAGGGCUACACACGUGCUACAAUGGCGCAUACAAAGAGAAGCGACCUCGCGAGAGCAAGCGGACCUCAUAAAGUGCGUCGUAGUCCGGAUUGGAGUCUGCAACUCGACUCCAUGAAGUCGGAAUCGCUAGUAAUCGUAGAUCAGAAUGCUACGGUGAAUACGUUCCCGGGCCUUGUACACACCGCCCGUCACACCAUGGGAGUGGGUUGCAAAAGAAGUAGGUAGCUUAACCUUCGGGAGGGCGCUUACCACUUUGUGAUUCAUGACUGGGGUGAAGUCGUAACAAGGUAGGCGUAGCGAG
Molecule: ribosomal RNA, 508 nt
Filed under: uncultured bacterium
Lineage: Bacteria
Description: bacterial SSU rRNA
Rfam family: Bacterial small subunit ribosomal RNA
Source: RNAcentral